AACGAACGCUGGCGGCGUGCCUAACACAUGCAAGUCGUGCGAGAAAGUUCCUUCGGGAGCGAGUAAAGCGGCGCACGGGUGAGUAACACGUAGGUAACCUGCCCCCCAGUCUGGAACAACUAGAGGAAACUCUAGCUAAUGCCGGAUGAGACCACGAUCCCUUCGGGGGUUGCGGCCAAAGAUGGCCUCUACUUGUAAGCUAUCGCUGAGGGAUGGGCCUGCGGGCCAUUAGCUUGUUGGUGAGGUAACGGCUCACCAAGGCUGUGAUGGCUAGCUGGUCUGAGAGGAUGACCAGCCACACUGGGACUGAGACACGGCCCAGACUCCUACGGGAGGCAGCAGUGGGAAUAUUGCGCAAUGGGCGAAAGCCUAGACGCAGCGAACGCCGCGU
RNAcentral lists this ribosomal RNA (391 nucleotides) under uncultured bacterium. Its description in RNAcentral is "bacterial SSU rRNA". It matches the Rfam family "Bacterial small subunit ribosomal RNA", at positions 29 to 402 of the family's 1533-position model. The record is from RNAcentral.